RNAcentral lists this ribosomal RNA (683 nucleotides) under uncultured Gordonia sp. Its description in RNAcentral is "bacterial SSU rRNA". It matches the Rfam family "Bacterial small subunit ribosomal RNA", at positions 9 to 705 of the family's 1533-position model. The record is from RNAcentral. Lineage: Bacteria; Bacillati; Actinomycetota; Actinomycetes; Mycobacteriales; Gordoniaceae.
GAGUUUUGAUCCUGGCUCAGGACGAACGCUGGCGGUUUGCUUAACACAUGCAAGUCGAACGGAAAGGCCCAGCUUGCUGGGUACUCGAGUGGCGAACGGGUGAGUAACACGUGGGUGAUCUGCCCUGCACUCUGGGAUAAGCCUGGGAAACUGGGUCUAAUACCGGAUAGGACCAUGGGAUGCAUGUUCUGUGGUGGAAAGCUUUUGCGGUGUGGGAUGGGCUCGCGGCCUAUCAGCUUGUUGGUGGGGUAAUGGCCUACCAAGGCGACGACGGGUAGCCGACCUGAGAGGGUGAUCGGCCACACUGGGACUGAGACACGGCCCAGACUCCUACGGGAGGCAGCAGUGGGGAAUAUUGCACAAUGGGCGCAAGCCUGAUGCAGCGACGCCGCGUGAGGGAUGACGGCCUUCGGGUUGUAAACCUCUUUCGCUAGGGACGAAGCGCAAGUGACGGUACCUGGAGAAGAAGCACCGGCCAACUACGUGCCAGCAGCCGCGGUAAUACGUAGGGUGCGAGCGUUGUCCGGAAUUACUGGGCGUAAAGAGCUCGUAGGCGGUUUGUCGCGUCGUCUGUGAAAUUCUGCAGCUUAACUGCAGCGUGCAGGCGAUACGGGCAGACUUGAGUACUACAGGGGAGACUGGAAUUUCUGGUGUAGCGGUGAAAUGCGCAGAUAUCAGAAGAA